RNAcentral lists this ribosomal RNA (426 nucleotides) under uncultured Myxococcus sp. RNAcentral's name for it is "bacterial SSU rRNA". It matches the Rfam family "Bacterial small subunit ribosomal RNA", at positions 355 to 774 of the family's 1533-position model. Lineage: Bacteria; Pseudomonadati; Myxococcota; Myxococcia; Myxococcales; Myxococcaceae. The record is from RNAcentral.
UGGGGAAUUUUGCGCAAUGGGCGAAAGCCUGACGCAGCAACGCCGCGUGUGUGAUGAAGGUCUUCGGAUUGUAAAGCACUUUCGACCGGGACGAAAACCCGUUGGCUAACAUCCAACGGCUUGACGGUACCGGGAGAAGAAGCACCGGCUAACUCUGUGCCAGCAGCCGCGGUAAUACAGAGGGUGCAAGCGUUGUUCGGAAUUAUUGGGCGUAAAGCGCGUGUAGGCGGCGUGACAAGUCGGGUGUGAAAGCCCUCAGCUCAACUGAGGAAGUGCGCCCGAAACUGUCGUGCUUGAGUGCCGGAGAGGGUGGCGGAAUUCCCCAAGUAGAGGUGAAAUUCGUAGAUAUGGGGAGGAACACCGGUGGCGAAGGCGGCCACCUGGACGGUAACUGACGCUGAGACGCGAAAGCGUGGGGAGCAAACA